GACGGCCACACGAAAUGCAGAACGGGAAAUUGAAAUUUUAAAGAAAAUUGAUCAUCCGUGCCUGAUCAAGACAGAAGAUUUCUACCAGACAGAAGAUUCUUACUACAUUGUUUUGGAGUAUGUUGAAGGAGGAGAGCUGUUUGGCAGGAUCAAGGCCAAGAAACAGCUGGAGGAAGAAAUCGCCAAACUCUACUUUUAUCAAAUGCUCAGGGCU
This is a long non-coding RNA of Sinocyclocheilus rhinocerous, 214 nucleotides long. RefSeq lists it as uncharacterized. The record is from RefSeq and is a predicted model, not a curated record. NCBI's taxonomy places the organism in Eukaryota, Metazoa, Chordata, Actinopteri, Cypriniformes, Cyprinidae. The transcript is spliced from 3 exons.